Small nuclear RNA from Phodopus roborovskii (desert hamster), 109 nucleotides. The record is from RefSeq and is a predicted model, not a curated record. Lineage: Eukaryota; Metazoa; Chordata; Mammalia; Rodentia; Cricetidae.
GUGCUCGAUUUGGCAGCACAUAUUCUAAAAUUAGACUGAUACAGAGAAGAUUAACAUGGCCCCUGCACAAGAGUGCAUGCCUCAGAACCCAGAGCCAAAAAAAGGAAUG